RNAcentral lists this ribosomal RNA (253 nucleotides) under uncultured bacterium. Its description in RNAcentral is "partial 16S ribosomal RNA". It matches the Rfam family "Bacterial small subunit ribosomal RNA", at positions 524 to 776 of the family's 1533-position model. The record is from RNAcentral.
UACGUAGGGUGCGAGCGUUGUCCGGAAUUAUUGGGCGUAAAGAGCUCGUAGGCGGCCUGUCGCGUCGGAUGUGAAAGCCCGGGGCUUAACCCCGGGUCUGCAUUCGAUACGGGCAGGCUAGAGUGUGGUAGGGGAGAUCGGAAUUCCUGGUGUAGCGGUGAAAUGCGCAGAUAUCAGGAGGAACACCGGUGGCGAAGGCGGCUUCCUGGGCCACAUCUGACGCUGAGACGCGAAAGCGUGGGGAGCGAACGGG